Molecule: non-coding RNA, 157 nt
Organism: Camelina sativa (false flax)
Lineage: Eukaryota; Viridiplantae; Streptophyta; Magnoliopsida; Brassicales; Brassicaceae
Source: RefSeq, a predicted model, not a curated record
UGAAGACCAAUGGCAUGACUUUGUUACCACGAGGUUCACUGAUAAGUGGAGGAGAGUACGAGAUCGAAACAUCAAAAGCCGAAGCAACCAUACCAUGCCUCAUUCAUGUGGGAGAAAGAGUUUUGCUAGAAAAAGACGUGAAAUUAAAAAUGUGACU